Non-coding RNA from Salmo salar (Atlantic salmon), 4531 nucleotides. The record is from RefSeq and is a predicted model, not a curated record. Lineage: Eukaryota; Metazoa; Chordata; Actinopteri; Salmoniformes; Salmonidae.
CGAGUUUUAAUGACUCCAACAUAAGUGUAUGUAAACUUCCGACUUCAACUGUACAUAAGUAUUCACACCGCUAAGUCAAUAUUUUGUACAAAACCUUUGGCGGCGAUUACAGCUUUGUCGUCUUGGGUAUGUCUAUCAGCUCUACACAAGAUUGAUAAGGUAAGUAAAUGCAUGUAUUUUUCCUCAUAAAUGUAGCCCAUAUAUUAUUUCUUUGUAACAAUUAGAUCUUUAAUUGAUUUAAACUAAGGCAAAAAUACAGAUUGAGGCAUUCAAUCAAACUUGAAGACAGAGAAAUAUGUGUGCACCGGAGAGGUCAAGGCUUCUUGCAUGCAUGGUUUUGACAUGUAAGUUACACAAAAAAAUGUUGGGUUAUUUGGAUGACCCAAUUGCUGGGAUGCAGGCAUUGGGUCAAUAUAGUUGGGUUGUUUUCUGUAAAUACAGCAAGGUUGGAUUGUUGGUGCUGGGUUAUUAUUAAAGUUGGGUUAUGGAUAUUUGACCCAGCAGGUGGGUUAAUUCUCCCACCACAAGCGCGUGAAGUCCACCAGAAAACUUGGAAGUAUUCUAGUUCUAGCUAAUGCGACUGAGUGACUGACAAGUGGAAAACGGCUAACGUUAUUUAAACAGACUGAAGGUGUUUUGGCUUACUGAAAACCGUGAAAACGAUAAGUAACAAACGUUACGAAUUAUGAAUUUGAUGGUCAUUCAGGUUAAAUAGGUUAUCCUAUCAUAAUUAGGUAGCUAGCUAAUGUUAUCUUGAGUGUUUUCUGUGCUAAUAUCAUUUUCUGUGCUAAUAUCUCUGGCUGUGGUAACAUUAGCUAGCUAGCUAACAUUAGCCUCGCGACCAUGCUCGCGACGCUAGCUUACGGAAGUGUUGUGGCAGAAUAUAACUAAAUGUUUUGUUUUUUGUUGGCAUUUAGCUAGCUAGCCAUGUCAGUAUCUGUAAUGGUAGCUAACUAAAGUUAUUAGCUACCUUAGUGUGACACUUCUUCUGGACUGUAUCGGGCAUGGUUUCACUCGUUAACUACGUUAGCUAAAUUAGCUGGAUUAAUUUCACCAAGCUAUUUGGCAAGCUUAUCUCAUGCUUGCAUGGUGAUUGAUUGAGUUUGUUAGCGUUACUGCACUGGUUUUCAAUGGUUUCUGACAGUGGCAGCUUUAGUCGGACUUGUGAAGUUGAGGAGGAUGGAUGCAAAUUCUGUUAGCUAGCUAACGUUAGAGUUUACCUUAAAUUUGAUGUAGCCAAGUUAGCUAGAGCCAGCUAGCUAAACUAUGUUUGUAGCAUUUCUUGUUUUCGGUUCUUAGAUACAGAGGUCAAUGCUAAUGAAUGGACAGCUUUGUCAAGAUACAUCGAAUGAGGAAACCUGGCCCCUUUGAUUCCAAAGUUUGAGGCGGAAGAGAUGGACCAGGAAACCCUCUUGCUUUUGCAUGACUUGACAAUGGCCUGAAGUUAAAGAGGAACAUAAAUGCCUUACAAGCAGUGAGGAUUCUGUAAACGGCACCUUUUUUAUACAUGAGGGGAGGUCCACGGGACACACACAUGAAUACAUAGGACUGUGGAUACACCAAGCGACACACUGAGCUUGAGCAGUAGCCGGGUCUUGCCAGGUACAUGUUGAAAGAUUUGGGUAUUUUUUAAAUAAAUGUAUAAUUAAUUGAAUACUUCGUGCACACAACAGAGUCCAAUGUGAGAACGGCAGCCCACGUGACCAAGUGGCGCAACAACAUCUGGCCGGCAAACCCGGUUGCGGAGUACCUGAAGGAGACCGCAAUUCAGAGGGUUCAGUGGACCAGACCGAAUGGGGCCAAGACAGUCGAGAUAGUCUGAGAAUAUCCACGUUUGUUAAUACAAUAUUUGCUAAAAUAUUGUGCUAUUGGUUUUCUCAAAUGCUGUUUUUUCCUCUUUAGGUUUGAGACCUCUCAUUGUUUGGAUUUUAAAAUUAGAAACAGCAUUGGGUGUGGCUACUGUGUGAACAUGUGGAUCUGAGCAAGUGUGAUGUCAUACAUUUUUGUGGAUAUGUACUGUAUGUAAAUGUUAAGUUGUGUAUUGUUUUUGUCAAUGUAUGUUUUUGUUUGUCAAAAAAAAAGUUAAUUACAUUUUUUGUAAUAUGGUAUCUAUCUGUCACUACAGAUUGCUCAGGACUUCUACAAUUUAAACCCGGACUGCUCGGGGAAACUGACUAAUAGCUGGAUCGCGGUCUACAAGGACAAAGAACUUCGCUUCGCCAGCCCAGAGAGAAGCAGGCCCAAGAUCUUCUCUUCGAAGUGCAGAUACACAAGGUGAUGUGAUGGAAAAUGUUAUGAAGCGUGAGGGAAAUUCCCGUCUGACCAAAAGAGGACAUGGAAUGCCAUGGAAUGCCCCGCUGACAGCUGUCUGUAGGCAUUCAUAAGAGAAGUGUUUACAUGGUCUGCAGCCACUGAUAAUAGCACAAAGUCUAUAUAAAGAUAUAUAUGGUGCAUAGGAAGUAACAGGAGAAUCGUUGAAGAUGCUCAUGGGUUAAUAAGGGAGAUUACCGAGUGUGUUUGGGAAUAGUACUAAGUGAAUGUGGAUGUGAGAGUUGUGUGCGUGUGAAAGAGGUGCGUGUCUGAAAGUAUACCCCAACCAGUUCUGUGACCUGAGUUUUUUUAAUCUAUAAUGUUAUUAUAUAUGUAUAGGAAGUAGCGGCAAGCUAGUCUUAGGAGAAAGCUGUGAGGGCAGGAGUGAGGGCAGGACAAUUGUCUGUAGGCAAUCAUAAGAAGUGUCUACGUGGUCUGAGAACCACUGGCUAGUCUUAGGAGAAGGCUAGAGUGAGGCCAGAGAGGCCAAUUGUCUGUAUGUAUUUAUAAGAGAAGUGUAGGUAUUCAUAAGAAGUGUUUACGUGGUCUGAGAACCACUGGCUAGUCUUAGGAGAAGGCUAGAAUGAGGCCAGUUAUCUGUAGGCAUUUAUAAGAGAAGAGUCUACAUGGUCGGAGAACCACUGGAACCAUUGAAGAUCCAUAUGGUGAAUACAUAAGAAGUGUGUCUGCAGCCACUACUAAUAGAACGUGUGUAAUGAUAGACUACGUGGUCUGAGAACCACUGAUAAUAGCACACGGUGUUAUUGUAGGCAUUUAGAGUAGUUGAUGCCCAUGAGUGGUGUGGAUGUCUGUAGGCAUUUAUGAUCUAUAACAUUAUAAAGGGAUUCUGUAUAGAGAUAUGAAAGAGAGGACUAUUCCCAAAUAUGCUGUUAAAUAGAACACUAGAGUGUUUAAAUAUUUAAACCCCUGUAUGAAUACAACACUGGUGUAGAGGAGGAAUUUGUGAUGUAACACUAAUGUAUAAUGGGUUACUAGAGAUAAAGUAACAUAAUAUUGAUUAUAAUGGGUUACUGGAGAUCAGAUGAAAAAUACAUUUAUAAUAUACAAUUUGCACACCCACACAUACAGGUAUGUAAGUGGUGUAAAAAGUAUUCUGAGAAAUGUUCAGAGUGGUCCCUUUAUUGAUGAAGACAAAGUUAAAGCCUUUUACGGCACUUGACUUACCCCUAACCAAUAAAACUAUAAACGCUGAUGAGAUUUCCUCCAGCCUGGUAAUACAUUUUGAAAUAAAUCCCAUACCCUGUUAAAUAGACCCAAUGCUUUUCUGUAUUCACCUACUCAACCAUUUAACUUGCUAGGUAGAGACUUAUUAUGGACAGAGCACCAUGCCAUCUACAGGGGACUGAUAGACAGUGCCAGCUCAGUUAAUACAUAUUGAUCCCUCCAGAGUAUUACGUAUGAAUGUUAAAAUACUAGUCAUUUAAUAAAUAUUGAAGCAGAAAGUGAAUAUCCAACAGAGAUUGGUAAUAAAAAUUAUUAAUCACAACCUUGUAUCAUAUUGUCAUUCUGAACCGUCGUAACCUCCUUGCCUCUGCAAAAACCCAAGACUUAUUAUGAUUCAGUACUACACAAAUUGGUUUAAUUAUUUAUUUACUAGCUAAUUAAAUAGGAACACAGGAUAAACAUACACACUCUGCACCGGUUAUUGACUGAAGACUUAACACGCCGAAAACAGGUCCCUAGCGGAAUGACAACAACAUGGCUGCUUGUUAAAGAAGAGAUGGGGAGGGGACAGAGACACUUAACAUUAGUUUAAAAAUGUACCACUCUCACCUACAGUAACCAUUACUUUGCACACAAACCGCCACCCGUUGUGAGUCAGAAAUCAUGAAUGUAUUUACGUGAAAUGCCUGGGUUCGCCGGGGAUCUCUCGGUGGACAGGGUAGCCUUGGAAAUGGGGUUGGGCCUUUUCGCGGCACGCUUGUAAGGCUCUGAUUGUCCAAAAUGGUUCCAACACGUCUUCUACUGAUAUCAUUCUUUGUAGUUGUCCGGUAUCCGGGUGACUUGUUGUGUAUCCUGAACAUAACUACAGAGUUGAUUUUCCUUCCAUUCACAUCCCUCUCUUAACAAAAACACUUUCAUCAUUUUUGAUACUACAUGCACAAUGUAUAGUAUGGAAACUUCAUAUACAUUUGAAGUCGGAAGUUUACAUACAUUUAGGUUGGAGUCAUUAAAACUCGUUUUUCAACCACUUCACAAA